GUGGGGAAUAUUGGGCAAUGGGCGCAAGCCUGACCCAGCAACGCCGCGUGAGGGAAGAAGGUUUUCGGAUUGUAAACCUCUGUCGCAGAUGACGAAGGAAGUGACGGUAAUCUGUGAGGAAGCCCCGGCUAACUACGUGCCAGCAGCCGCGGUAAUACGUAGGGGGCGAGCGUUGUCCGGAAUUACUGGGCGUAAAGGGAGCGUAGGCGGUCGAUUAAGUUGGAUGUGAAAUACCCGGGCUUAACUUGGGGGGUGCAUCCAAUACUGGUUGACUAGAGUACAGGAGAGGAAAGCGGAAUUCCUAGUGUAGCGGUGAAAUGCAUAGAUAUCCGGAGGAACACCAGUGGCGAAGGCGGCUUUCUGGACUGUAACUGACACUGAGGUACGAAAGCGUGGGGAGCAAACAGGAUUAGAAACCCCGGUAGUCC
RNAcentral lists this ribosomal RNA (428 nucleotides) under uncultured bacterium. RNAcentral describes it as "partial 16S ribosomal RNA". It matches the Rfam family "Bacterial small subunit ribosomal RNA", at positions 354 to 796 of the family's 1533-position model. The record is from RNAcentral.